GACCCAAUAGUCUAGUGGUUAAGACAUAAUGUUUUCACCAUUACAUCAGGGGUUCAAAUCCCCUUUGGGUUA
RNAcentral lists this transfer RNA (72 nucleotides) under Ramalina intermedia. Its description in RNAcentral is "tRNA-Glu". It matches the Rfam family "tRNA". Rfam says of the family: Transfer RNA (tRNA) molecules are approximately 80 nucleotides in length. Their secondary structure includes four short double-helical elements and three loops (D, anti-codon, and T loops). Lineage: Eukaryota; Fungi; Ascomycota; Lecanoromycetes; Lecanorales; Ramalinaceae. The record is from RNAcentral. RNAcentral also lists the same sequence under 3 other names.